CGAAAUCCCCUCAUUUGUCUCUUACACCAAAACCUAAGGAGACCCUAGCCGCCCCAACUUCCCUCACCGUCUCCACCUUCAUUCGCUACUGAAAUCGCCUCAUGACUGUUCCGGUGCUCCAAACACCACCAAAUUAACACCCUAUGACCUCCCUACCCCCCCUUUUCAAAUCUCUAACCCAUUUCCCUCAAAUCAUCACCAAACGUUUCGAAUCUUGAAUCUAAGAUCGAAACCUAAAAAUCCCAAAUCAUCCAAAUGGCCCCAAAAUCACAUCCCACACUCCUCAUACCUUGUUGAACCCUAAAAUACAAUUAACUUACCAAAAACCGCACCGUUUUCUUUGAAUUUUGAAUCUAGUAUCCUCUGAACCCUAACCUUAUGUUUCCAAUUGGCGCUUUAAGAGGUGAAUCACAAACUUUCAUUAGUCGAUUGUUCCUUGUUAAGGACAACCGAUUAAUGUUUGUUAAGGUUCAUUUUAUUUUAUUGAAGAAAGUGGUCAGAUGUUUUGUUGCAUCUAGAUUGAACAUAGGAAAUUUUCCUUUGCUUUAAUUCUAUUUGUUUUCUCUGUUGUUUUCCUCUUCCUUCUCUUGGUUUGCUCAUCAUGAUUUUAAUUCUGUUUAGCUGCAUUUUAGGGUUUCAAAAUAAGCAGAUCUAUGACAGAAUACAUGAAGUGCAAGUUUAGCGCUGAGCCGAGCGAAGUAGGCAGGGACGUGAUGAUUUGAUCUCAGGUCAUCGCCAAGAGGGACAGUGUCAAAUAUCUUGGGUCGGUGAUUCAAGGGG
This 780-nucleotide long non-coding RNA is filed under the name Nicotiana benthamiana. Its description in RNAcentral is "long non-coding RNA (NBEN_LNC010428)". Lineage: Eukaryota; Viridiplantae; Streptophyta; Magnoliopsida; Solanales; Solanaceae. The record is from RNAcentral.